RNAcentral lists this ribosomal RNA (387 nucleotides) under uncultured bacterium. RNAcentral describes it as "bacterial SSU rRNA". It matches the Rfam family "Bacterial small subunit ribosomal RNA", at positions 30 to 419 of the family's 1533-position model. The record is from RNAcentral.
AUUGAACGCUGGCGGCAUGCCUUACACAUGCAAGUCGAACGGCAGCGGACCUUCGGGUGCCGGCGAGUGGCGAACGGGUGAGUAAUAUAUCGGAACGUACCUUUCAGUGGGGGAUAACGUAGCGAAAGUUACGCUAAUACCGCGUAUUCUGUGAGCAGGAAAGCAGGGGAUCGCAAGACCUUGCGCUGAUUGAGCGGCCGAUAUCAGAUUAGCUAGUUGGUGAGGUAAAGGCUCACCAAGGCGACGAUCUGUAGCGGGUCUGAGAGGAUGAUCCGCCACACUGGAACUGAGACACGGUCCAGACUCCUACGGGAGGCAGCAGUGGGGAAUUUUGGACAAUGGGCGCAAGCCUGAUCCAGCCAUGCCGCGUGAGUGAAGAAGGCCUGG